AUUGAUGGCGACCGGCGCACGGGUGAGUAACGCGUAUGCAACUUACCUAUCAGAGGGGGAUAGCCCGGCGAAAGUCGGAUUAAUACUCCAUAAAACAGGGGUCCCGCAUGGGACUAUUUGUUAAAGAUUCAUCGCUGAUAGAUAGGCAUGCGUUCCAUUAGGCAGUUGGCGGGGUAACGGCCCACCAAACCGACGAUGGAUAGGGGUUCUGAGAGGAAGGUCCCCCACAUUGGUACUGAGACACGGACCAAACUCCUACGGGAGGCAGCAGUGAGGAAUAUUGGUCAAUGGCCGAGAGGCUGAACCAGCCAAGUCGCGUGAAGGAUGAAGGAUCUAUGGUUUGUAAACUUCUUUUAUAGGGGAAUAAAGUGUGGGACGUGUUCCAUUUUGUAUGUACCCUAUGAAUAAGCAUCGGCUAACUCCGUGCCAGCAGCCGCGGUAAUACGGAGGAUGCGAGCGUUAUCCGGAUUUAUUGGGUUUAAAGGGUGCGUAGGUGGUAAUUUAAGUCAGCGGUGAAAGUUUGUGGCUCAACCAUAAAAUUGCCGUUGGAACUGGGUUACUUGAGUGUGUUUGAGGUAGGCGGAAUGCGU
Molecule: ribosomal RNA, 590 nt
Filed under: uncultured Bacteroidales bacterium
Lineage: Bacteria; Pseudomonadati; Bacteroidota; Bacteroidia; Bacteroidales
Description: bacterial SSU rRNA
Rfam family: Bacterial small subunit ribosomal RNA
Source: RNAcentral